RNAcentral lists this ribosomal RNA (372 nucleotides) under uncultured Pseudomonas sp. RNAcentral's name for it is "bacterial SSU rRNA". It matches the Rfam family "Bacterial small subunit ribosomal RNA", at positions 340 to 704 of the family's 1533-position model. The record is from RNAcentral. Lineage: Bacteria; Pseudomonadati; Pseudomonadota; Gammaproteobacteria; Pseudomonadales; Pseudomonadaceae.
UACGGGAGGCAGCAGUGGGGAAUUUUGGACAAUGGUCGAAAGCCUGAUCCACCCAUGCCGGGUGUGUGAAGAAGGUCUUCGGAUUGUAAAGCACUUUAAGUUGGGAGGAAGGGCAGUUACCUAAUACGUGAUUGUUUUGACGUUACCGACAGAAUAAGCACCGGCUAACUAUGUGCCAGCAGCCGGGGUAAUUCAGAGGGUGCGAGCGUUAAUCGGAAUUUCUGGGCGUAAAGCGCGCGUAGGUGGUUAGUUAAGUUGGAAAUGAAAUCCCCGGGCUCAACCUGGGAAGUGCAUUCAAAAAUGACUGACUAGAGUAUGGUAGGGGGAGGUGGAAUUUCCGGUGGAGGGGGGAAAUGCGUGGAUAUAGGGAGG